AGGCACAGGGAGUGAUGGUCCAUGAACUACAUAGUGAGAUGAUAAGACUGGUCAAGAGAUACUUGGGCUACAUUGUUCCAGCUAGAUUGAUUGUCGAUACUCCUGUCAGUGAGGUUUCCUAAAAACAAGAGCACCAGCUGACUAAUGAGGAUCUCUUAAUUGAAGCAGAGGCCAGAGCAUUCCUCAAAAAUGAAGAAUUCUCCUCCGUGUCAGUGACAAGGAUAUAUUAGACAGUGAGAGUUUUCUAUGCAGAAGUCAUUGGGAAGAUGCUGAAGGUCUUUCCCUUACAAUCUCAGCUGCUUAAAGACUUGAAGGUACUGGACCCAGCCUCUCACCUGAAUGUCUCUCCUGAACAGGUAAAAAGUAUCAUUUUAUUGUAUGAAUAUCCAUUCAGUACUUUCAAGUAACCUAACUGAGUAUUUGUUGGAAAUGUGUUCAUACUACAUAGUGGCAAGGCUAGGUUGCAUGUUUCCCCAACUGAAGUUUGAGGAUCCAGAUAAGUCGAGAGGGGAGUUCACAGACUACCAGGUCACAGACAGCAACAAGUUGUCCAAAGAACAGAGAGUUGACAGAUUCUGGGGCCUUGUAGGGAGGAAUGAGACCAGGUUCAGUGAGCUGGCUAGACUGAUGAAAGCAUUGCUCAUCAUCCCCCAUAGCAAUGCCUCUUCAGAGAGGAGCUUCAGCAUGGUGAAAAAAAUAGUUAGAGAAAAUCUCAUGAGCAUGAAUAACAGCAUUCUUUGCUCUCUCCUAUCCUGCAAAAUAAACCACACCAGUUUGGCCUCAAAGUAAACACCGUCCAAGAGGUCACUUAGAGCAGCUAAAUCUGCCACAUACAACUACAACACUUCAAAAGAAAAGUGAGCACAUAUUCAUGUCUACAAAACAUACUGUCAUACUGACCAAAGAGAGACAGUUAUUGAUGCUCAAGGAAUGAUGAAACAUUUCAAAAUGUGUUAAAUGUGUUUGUACUAGUGUUAAAAACUGCAGUGCAGUGGUU
Esox lucius (northern pike) is the source of this 997-nucleotide long non-coding RNA. The record is from Ensembl. NCBI's taxonomy places the organism in Eukaryota, Metazoa, Chordata, Actinopteri, Esociformes, Esocidae.